CAUUUAGUGACUCCACAUGAGUGAAUAGUGUGGUAUGGCAUCUGGAAAAGCCCAUUUGAUUUUUGGCUGCAUUAAUAAAGGCACAGUGUCCAGGGCAAAGGAAGUGAUGGACAGUCCCACUGUCCUUUGCCCUCGUCAGAACACAUCUGGAGUGCUGUGUUCAGUUGUGGCCGAGUCUUUUAGGAAAAGACAUUUAUGUAUAAGCUGGAGAACACCCCAUUAGAAUGGAAGCUCCUUGAGGGCAGGAACCAUUUGUUCACUUAAUUGGUGCUUAAUAAAUGCUUGUGGAUUGGUUGGUCAGCAAUCAGAAGAGAACAACCAGGAGGGUAAAAGGCCAUGCCACAGGAGGAUUACUUGGAGGGGAACAGGAAUGCUUAACUUGGAAAAGAGAAGAUGGGGAAACAUGAAUAGUUGUCUUCAAGUGUUUUUAGGAGUGGCAUGUGAAAGAAGGAUUAGGCUUCCUCUGCUUGACCCCAGAUGGUAGCCCUAGGAGCAAUGAUGGGAGUGAGAGCUUGGUAUGAAAAAAAAAAAAGCCAAACCCUUUCAUGACAAUUAGAGCUGUCUCAGAAUGCAACAGGAUGCUUUAGCUCCCAUGAUCUUCCCAUGGAGGCUGGGAUGUUAUAGAAAGGAUUCCUGUUCAGAUGCAGGUUGGAUUAGGUGGCCUCUGAGAUUCUAACCCUUCUAACCCUGACACUCUGUGAAUCUGGCUCCUGGCUCCUAGGUCAGGGCUCUUUCCACUGCAUAACUCAUUCUUUUAGAAGAAAACAACAGUGGCCUGAGUGUCUGAACACUCUGUCCCAUUUACUGGAACUAGGACAAAAUAAAAGCAAGAAGAUGGGCACCUUUCCCAUUCUGCCUCUGCCUGGUCUUUUGCACAACAGCUUAUUGCAUUCAUUCCCUGGCUUUAGCUCCCUUGAAUACUGUAAACAUCUUACUGUGACCUCCACUGAAGCAGCCAUAUUCUUGGGGUCUUGUUUUGAUGAAUGGCCCAUUGUGAACCAGAUGAGCUCAGUGUAUGGAGGUCCAUCCGUCACCAGAGGAUUGGUCAUUCACAGCCUUUCAUGAAGACCGUUUGCUGAGGCUCAGAAGGGUGGAGAUCAGCAGCAGAAGUGCUCACAGUGAAUGAAGAACAGAUUCUGGCAGAAUCUGGAGCAGAAUGAGGUAGAAAGAGCCCCGGAUUGGGAAGACCUGGGUUUGAUUCCCAGCUGUAUGACCUUGGGUUUACUUCAAACAGAAUCUUCCCUGAACUUUGCUCAGCUAAUUCCAUGGUCAACUGCUCCUGCACCUGUCACAACCCACCACUACGGCUCCAAGCCACCUCCAAUCUCAACCCAAGGACUCUGGAACUUUCACACUGGCCAGGAAGCUGAGGAACCUAGACAUAUCCAUCCUGGGGUACUCAUUCACCUAAGAUCAGGAAAAAACAAACAGAAAAGAGGUAAAGGCCCCACACAAGCUUACCUAGUUA
This is a non-coding RNA of Phascolarctos cinereus (koala), 1468 nucleotides long. The record is from RefSeq and is a predicted model, not a curated record. Lineage: Eukaryota; Metazoa; Chordata; Mammalia; Diprotodontia; Phascolarctidae.